RNAcentral lists this ribosomal RNA (375 nucleotides) under uncultured bacterium. RNAcentral's name for it is "bacterial SSU rRNA". It matches the Rfam family "Bacterial small subunit ribosomal RNA", at positions 30 to 386 of the family's 1533-position model. The record is from RNAcentral.
AGUGAACGCUGGCGGCAGGCCUAACACAUGCAAGUCGAGCGGCAGCGGGUCCCCGCGAGGGGAUGCCGGCGAGCGGCGGACGGGUGAGGAACACAUCGGAAUCUGCCUGGUUGUGGGGGAUAACGUAGGGAAACUUACGCUAAUACCGCAUGCGACCCUGAGUCGACGGACUGGGGGGUGAAAGUGAGGGACCUUCGGGCCUCACGCGACCAGAUGAGCCGAUGUCGGAUUAGCUAGUUGGCGGGGUAACGGCCCGCCAAGGCGACGAUCCGUAGCUGGUCUGAGAGGAUGAUCAGCCACACUGGGACUGAGACACGGCCCAGACUCCUACGGGAGGCAGCAGUGGGGAAUCUUGGACAAUGGGCGCAAGCCUGA